ACAUAUCCUAAAGACUCUCGGCAACGGAUAUCUCGGCUCUUGCAUCGAUGAAGAACGUAGCGAAAUGCGAUACUUGGUGUGAAUUGCAGAAUCCCGUGAACCAUCGAGUCGUUGAACGCAAGUUGCGCCCGACGCCAUCAGGUCGAGGGCACGCCUGCCUGGG
This 163-nucleotide ribosomal RNA is filed under the name Piptanthus nepalensis. Its description in RNAcentral is "5.8S ribosomal RNA". It matches the Rfam family "5.8S ribosomal RNA". From Rfam's summary of the family: 5.8S ribosomal RNA (5.8S rRNA) is a component of the large subunit of the eukaryotic ribosome. It is transcribed by RNA polymerase I as part of the 45S precursor that also contains 18S and 28S rRNA. The record is from RNAcentral. Lineage: Eukaryota; Viridiplantae; Streptophyta; Magnoliopsida; Fabales; Fabaceae.